CGGUUGAUCCUGCCGGAGGCCACCGCUAUCCGGGUUCGACUAAGCCAUGCGAGGCGAGAGUCGACUCGCCGAACUGCUCAGUAAUAUGUAGUUAACCUACCCUAUCCUGGGGGAUAAACCCGGGAAACUGGGUUCAAUACCCCAUAGGUCUUAAGUUCUGGAAUGAUUUAAGACCAAAAGCUCCGGCGGGAUAGGAUGGGACUACAUGCUAUUAGGCUGUUGAUGGUGUAAGAACCAUCAAACCUAUAAUGGCUACGGGCUAUGGGAGUAGAAGCCCGGAGAUGGACUCUGAGACAUGAGUCCAGGUCUUACGAGACGCAGCAGGCGCGAAAACUUUGCAAUUCACUAACGUGAGACAAGGGAACCCGGAGUGUUCUUGCUAUGCAAGAACUUUUGCCCUUUGAAAACGGGAAGGAGAAUAAGGUCUGGGGAACACGGGUGCCAGCCCCCGCGGUAAUACCCGGGGACCGAGUGGUGGCCAGUAUUAUUGGGUCUAAAGCGUCCGUAGCCGGUCCGAAAAGUCCCUAGUGAAAUCUUUCAGCAAACUGAAAGGAGUGCUUGGGAUACUUUUGGACUUGAGACUGGGAGGGGAUAGGGAUACUCUUAGGGUAGGGGUAAAAUCCUGUAAUCCUGAGAGGAUCACCACUGGCGAAGGCGCCUAUCUGGAACAGGUCUGACGGUGAGGGACGAAAGCUAGGGGAGCGAUUGGGAUUAGAUAUGGGAAUCCUUUUCCACUAAAUACCCCAGUAGUCCUAGCAGUAAACGAUGCCCGUUUGGUGUUGCAGGCUUCUCGGGAGCUUGCAGUGCCGGAGCGCAGGUGUUAAACGGGCCACCUGGGAAGUACGGCCGCAAGGCUGAAACUUAAAGGAAUUGGCGGGGGAGCAC
RNAcentral lists this ribosomal RNA (885 nucleotides) under uncultured archaeon. RNAcentral describes it as "bacterial SSU rRNA". It matches the Rfam family "Archaeal small subunit ribosomal RNA", at positions 5 to 879 of the family's 1478-position model. The record is from RNAcentral.